Long non-coding RNA from Bufo bufo (common toad), 167 nucleotides. RefSeq lists it as uncharacterized. The transcript has 3 exons. The record is from RefSeq and is a predicted model, not a curated record. NCBI's taxonomy places the organism in Eukaryota, Metazoa, Chordata, Amphibia, Anura, Bufonidae.
UAUGUUAUGUAUUUAUUUAAUAAACGGCUGCUGUGGCCGAUUAAAUCCAAGCAGUAGUGUUGUGUAUUUAUUUUAAGAGGUAGGUGGUGAGGCAGGUAAGAUAUGAUGUUAAGGGACCGAACAGUUAGCCAAUUCCCUCUUCAUGUGUAUACUGUGUAAGUGUGCAC